Molecule: long non-coding RNA, 1107 nt
Filed under: Chrysemys picta bellii (western painted turtle)
Lineage: Eukaryota; Metazoa; Chordata; Testudines; Emydidae
Description: lncRNA (ENSCPBG00000021675.1)
Source: RNAcentral
AAGCUCCCAUUGACUUCAACGGAGCCAGAAUUUAACCCUUCAUGUUUUAUUUGAAACCCCAGGUCCGGCAGACAAAUGAUUAUUCAAGAAUUUCAGCUUUCAUUUUAAAAAUGUAAGUUUCUAACCUUCAUGAUUGCACAGAAAAGCAUGAAAACAGGACCCAAUAACUUGUGAGGUUUGAAAAACAGAAAGUAAAAGAACCCUAUAUUUAUUUGAAAAUCUCAUGAUUUGUAAGCCAAUCUCAUGGUUAUGGGAGCCUGACAUGAUUUUUCCUGAUGUUUGAUAAUUUUUUAAUUUGGAUUUGAGAAGAUGUUCAAGCAAUGAGAAGAUGUCCCAGUUACACAUGGAAACAGUGAAGGGGAAAUGGGCUUUGUUCUGCUUGCUGACAUUGCUUGUGGAUCAGGCAGGAUUACAUGAGUAACACACUGAAUAUGAAUUAUACAUCCCUGAAGUCCUCAGUUUGUGCCUAUCCAGAAAAGUAAUCAUGUGUCAAGCCCCUCAAGAUACCAUAAGAGAGGCAAAAUCCAACCAGCCAGCCAGCAUGGAAAAUGGGGGCUUUACCAACGUCUAUGAAAAUGUAGAGAACACUGGCCUUUAUGAGAUUCCUGAUUCAGAGGAGGCAAAAGAGGAGAUUCCUGAUUCAGAGGAGGCAAAAGAGGAGAUUCCUGAUUCAGAGGAGGCAAAAGAGGAGAUUCCUGAUUCAGAGGAGGCAAAAGAGGAUCAUCUUUAUGAGGAAGUCCAUGAAGACCCAACAUCUCCUUCUUCCACCACCACUCCAGAAAGCAUGGACAUCAGCCGCAGUAAUUCUGUGUCAUCUCAGCAAGGAGCUGAUGGGGAGGAUGGUUCAGCUUCCUCUCAGCAAGGGGCUGAAGAGGACCAGCAUCGUCAGGAAGAGAUGGAGAUGAUGAGCCCAAGGCCCAGUGAUGAAUGUGUAGAGAGGAUGGUGUUUGGAAAUAAAAUCCCAUCUCCUACUGGAUUCAGUCUUCGCAAGAGCCCGGUCACUUCCCCCACCUUCCCAACUUCCACCAGAUUUCCAGCUAACAACAACUUGGGAGAAACUGACAACUUUCAGAAGGAGUGUGAAAUUUUCCUCUUUGUUAAGGUAAG